RNAcentral lists this ribosomal RNA (339 nucleotides) under Triticum aestivum (bread wheat). Its description in RNAcentral is "partial small subunit ribosomal RNA". Lineage: Eukaryota; Viridiplantae; Streptophyta; Magnoliopsida; Poales; Poaceae. The record is from RNAcentral.
AUGUCUAUCAUCACUCCUACUACAUUACAUACAGUCAAUGAGCUCAUUGAUGAAGAAAAUUGGACAUGGAAGACGGAUCUUGUUCGACAAAACUUUCUUGCUCCGGAUGCAGAAGCUAUAUUAAACAUACCAUUGCGCAUCGGAGGUGGACAGGAUUUCUUUGCUUGGGCUUUUGAAAACUCAGGUGUCUACACACACAAAUCGGCGUACCGUGCUCUCGUGAAUCAGAAAGAGCGUCAUGCUCUAGAGGAAGGGACGGUUACCGGCGCCUCAGAAUCAGAACAACAGAUGUGGACAUCUCUAUGGAAGCUCAAAGUGGUGCCUAAGGUCAGAGUCUUC